ACCAUAACUGUCAAUCCUCUAAAUGCAAACAAAUAAUCUGAAUAAUAAAUCUAAAGGAAAAAUCCUUUUUUUUUUUGGAACAUUAAUUCUAGUAAGUCUAAGGGGAGAGAGGAGAUUUGAACACUGAAUCUCAGUCCUUUAAGGCCUAAGCUAUUAAACAGAAAUACUCCUUUUGUAAUUUAUAUCAUGCGACAGAAUACUAUAAAA
RNAcentral lists this long non-coding RNA (207 nucleotides) under Durio zibethinus. RNAcentral's name for it is "long non-coding RNA (DZIB_LNC002424)". The record is from RNAcentral. Lineage: Eukaryota; Viridiplantae; Streptophyta; Magnoliopsida; Malvales; Malvaceae.